RNAcentral lists this long non-coding RNA (16540 nucleotides) under Phoenix dactylifera (date palm). RNAcentral describes it as "long non-coding RNA (PDAC_LNC005586)". The record is from RNAcentral. Lineage: Eukaryota; Viridiplantae; Streptophyta; Magnoliopsida; Arecales; Arecaceae.
UUUGUGUUUAAGGUAAAUUAUUUUAACCUUGCUAUCAUGGUCAACCAGACGUUACAUGCCAUUCUAUACAAAACUAGAUGCAGACAUCCACCUGAUCUGCCACUGUGAAACAAGGAUAGGUGCACAGCCUGUGAAAGCCGGAGCUCAUCUCAUGAGUGCUCUUUCAGGUAGAGGUUUCCAUCAUCUUGCAACAGCCACCUAAUCACCUCAUUUGCAGGGCAUGUUUCUUUCUGUUAGCUAGUUAGUGUUAGUUUCGGCAAGUUUAGAAACAGUUCAAUAUUACAAUCUUAGCGAUACUCUGAAGCUCAUAAGGUGCCCCAUGAAAGCUCAAUGCUGCGAAAACCACUGAACUGAACAUACCUUGCUUGGACUUCUAACAAUGUGAUGGGUAGUGCAGACCAUCUACCUUUCCUCGUCUAAUCUAAUUAUGUGAUUAUGUACUCAAGAUUUAUGCCAAUUUGGGCACGGUUGCUUUCUCCACCAUCUCAGUACAUGAAUGCAACCAGCAGCAGCUAACAGCCCAAGAGCAGCAAGUGCCAUAAUUGUGGAAUCUUCAAGUUUCCAGCGAUAACCACCCUACAAAUAACAGAAUAACUUGCCUUAUCAGAUCUAUGAAAUUUUCAAUCAAGAUAUAAUGAUAAUUCCACUAUCUAACCCAAGGUUCCUGAAGAGGCAAGGGAUAAAGGAACAAACUUGUAGCAGAACUAAAAAUAUUGCUGCAUUUGCUGGUGCCAACGAGAAGCUUAUCAUGCCUCCACGCAGUUCAUUUGGGACAUACCUGCUCAAGUGGCAGAAUGAGAAUUACAAAUGGAUCCUUUAAAAGGAAACAAAAUUAAGUACAUAACCGUUGGCUCACAUUGUCCUCAGUCUUGCAAGUGAAGGUAAAAUGAAACCAACACAAGCAUGGUAGAUGCAGAACAGUAUUACCAGAGCACCAACCUCCUGCUGACAGAAAAUACUAAAAAAAAUAAGCCUAUAUAGCAUUAGACAGAACUUUGAACUCGGUUAUAUAUUGGUUCCAGAUUCAACUUGCAGUACCUGAUAAUCAUAAGAUACAAUUAACAAAGACAAACCAGCAACAACAUAUGCAGUUAUCAGAUAUUCUUCGUUACGAAGUGAUGAUACACCACCAAAGAACCAAGGAAAAAUAGUGCUCCCAAGCAUUCUGGAGCCAAUGAAACAUGGGUACAAUCGAGACAGAUGAACCUCCCUCCCAUCUCCCUGAAAUAAAAUAGGAACUGAGUUCAAUGCAUAAAAUCAAACCUAUAUGCAUAUGAACAGGCUAAUAAUUCUUCAAACGAUUUCUGUUGAUGCAAUCUUUUUUGUUGGCCAUUCCAAUAUUAAGCAAUGAAACAACAUGUCAAGCAGGCUGCAAGACAAUAUCAUGUCACGGAAGAGAUGAAUUUCAACAAAAUGUACAAGUGGGAUGUAUUUUGGUUACUCAUCUUCCUAUAUGACUUGUUCAAUUGCAUGGACUUUUGGAAUGUAGUUACAGUGCCUAACUUCUAAAAUGGAUUUUUAAAGAACACUUUGUAUAGAUCUGUAUCACCAGAUAUUUUAAUCCUACAAAAGUUAGCACUUGGAAUGAUUUAGUUAUACAAUCAAUAAUAUGUUAUAUUCUGGGAAAAAUCCUAGUGUGGGCAUUUUGUUUCGGUUACUUCUGAUAAAUACCUUGAAGGGAAGAAGUGUUAGAUCUAAGUGAUGCAUCUUAACACUAAGUCGAGAUUUCAAGAAAAAAUAUAGUGAAAUUUAAGUAUGAGCAGCCACUGGUAUCGUUGCUAGCGAACAUGGCUCUAGACAAUUGACAGUUCUGGACAACUUCAAGUAGUUACCCAUUACUUUACAAACUAGGAGUUAUAUCAAAACAGGCAUACUUGCAUCAUUUCCUUCUUGAACAUGUAGCACAACAAAUCUGACCAUGGCUCGCUAGUAAGAGUUUCUACUUAACAGAAACCAAAAGAUUCAAGCAAACUUUUGAGCAUGGUAUGCCGCACCAGUCCGAAUUGGACAAUAUGGAGCGUACCGUACCAUACCGGUUCAGCACCGGUACCCAAUACAGGUGGCAUACCGAUAUUCGGUAUGCUAAAAAAAUUUCGUACCAUACCGUACCAACACUUUGCUAGUAUGGAACCAGUACGGGCUAACCUUGCUCUCAAGAAAUGUUGGGAUGCUCUCCCAUAGAAGGUUUCAUUUAAAUUGCUAUUUGUCAAGAUAAAAAAGAUGUCAGAUACUCUUUACAGUGUGAGAAUAAUUUUUUGCAGCAGAAAUAAAAGGUGUUAGAAUGUCAUCUGUUUGUUGAUGCCUAUCCUUUCGUACCAUUUACAUUUUGUCAAUUAAGACCUAGAUUAAGAUCCAGUUGUCCGGAUUUGAUAUCGAAUCUGGUUAGGUGAAAUCAAAAGACAAGGGUUUGAGUCCUAGACUCAGGCUUUCUCGCAUCCAAGUUUUCUAAACUCAUACAUGAGUUGACUACACAUUUUGCAUUAAAUCUUUGACCAAAGAUUUAAUGAUCUCAAAAUCAGUAAAGAGUUAUUCUAAUUGAAGAUUCACACUAUUCAAGAUGUCUCCAUUACAAAAAAUUUAUGUAUUUUCUGGCCUCUAAUCUAUGCAUCAAAUGGGUAGAAAAGUAAGCAGUAUUUAUUGCACUAAUGUGCCGAAAUGCAUGAUGGGGUAUCUGAAUUGAUAACCCACCUCAUAGAUCAUGAUCUACACAACUUGUAACAUGGUAAAUUUAAAUUCAUUUGGUUUGAUGUUUAGAUCAUAAUAAAACAUAGUAUCAUAAUAUUAAAAUCCAUUUCUUUUUACACCCACUUGAUGCUUAGGUUAGAGACCACUGAAAUACAUGAAAUUUUUGUUUCUAUGUAUUUUUUGUAAUCUGGAUCAUCUUCAACAGUUUGUAUUUUCAAUUUGGAUGGUCCAUUAUUUAUUUUGAAUCACUAAAGCUUUUUCCACAUACAUACUGGCUUGAACUUCUAAAACAGUGAUAAAAUAUUAAAAUUUUUCAUACUUUGUCUAUAUAAGAAGAGCGUUAUACUUAACAGCAGAUUCAAUAGAUGUAAACAGGAACAUAAUAUUAUGAUCACAAUUGGUUUGUGUCCAAAAGAAUAUGCUUGUUUCAUUUCCAUCUUUUGUCAAAAUUAAAGAUCCUGCAGGUGUAAGGCAAAAUCAGAAAAUGCGAAUAUCUGAUGCACUAUCUUUCAUCUAUGUAAAGACAUUGUUAUAGUUUUCCAGCAUCAUUUGAAGUUUUAGCCAAGAAGUUUUCAUUUUGGCUAUAACAUCUUAAAUUUUGUCCUAUAAUCCUUAAGUGCCUCAACUGAUGUAUCUAAGGUGUGUUUUUAUCCAAGACAAUACGAUAUUGUUUAUCUAGGACAGACUAUGAAAGUUCCAGUGGCUUGGACAAAACAUAUAUAUGUUACAUUCUACUACGAGAAAUCAGGUCAAGUUAUAUGUACCGGCAAGAAAGCAAUUAAAUCAUGUAUGUCUCAAAUUGCUCCAAGAGAGGCAAGGAGAUGCUUCUAGGAUUGGGAUGAACCAAUUCCAAGAAAAUGAAUUAAGAAAUCACAUCAAAUAGUUCAAGCUCCUAUUCUGCUUUGAGGGACAAAGCUCACCACUGAAUCAAACUAAAUACCCAAUAUAACUUUCAUAUUUUGGAUGUCUUUGGCUGGUGAUGAAUUUGUCAAGAUUUUGUCUUCAUAAUGCUUAAAAUGUUUUUACAAUUAUCAAUUUUCUAAUGGGGAGUUAUAUCGAUAGCUUCCUACUUUAAGGAAUGCAAACCAAACUAGAAUUGUCUUUCGCUACAAUUACCAUAGUAAGUUUUAUAAAGAGGCCCAACAUGAAUGGAACUGUCUCGAACCACCUGGUUCAGAGCAUACCAAACCAUACUAGCGGCGAACCGGGACAGUUCUGGCCUCCGGAUUGAGAAAUCGGCAGAAGGGGAGAAGGAGAAAGAGAGAGGGGGAAAGGGAGGGAAAGUGGCUAGCAGCGGUCCGAAUAGGGGCGAGGGAGGGGGGAGAGAGCACUUUCGAACCUCUCCUCCGUGCAUCGAAACAGGGGCGGAGCCCUUAUUUCGAAAAGAAAUAGGGGCUUCCGCCCCUUUUUCUAUUUUUUUUGUACUUUUUAAGGGAAGUCAGUAGCUAGUGCUGACUUGACUUAUUAUUUUCUUCAUAAUAAUAAGUGACUGUGUGCACAACUUAAUAAGUAAAGUCGACAAUGGCUACCGACUUCACUUAAAAAAAAUCAAAAAAAGUAUAUAAAAAUGGAUAGAAAACCCUAUUUCAUUUGGAAACAGGGACCCCACUCCUGUCCGAUGCACAAAAGAGAGAUCUUCGAAAGCCCUCUCUCCCCUUCCCUCACCCCUAUUCAUGCCGCUACCCCCUCUCUCUCUCUCUCUUUUCCUACCUAUCCCUCUCCCCCUCCCUUCCAAUUUUUCCUGUCAGUUUAUGCCGGAACAGCAUGGCACAGGGGCAUACCAUACCGUCUUGCCAGCCAACCGACACGAAUGCAGGUUCUAGUAUUGCCUUGGUAUAUCUUAUUAAAAAAUAAAAUUAUCUUUCUAAAUGAUGACAAGUAUUGUUUAGUAUUUCUCACAAUUUUAUUACACAAAUAUUAAGCCACAUCGAGAGUAAUAAGAAAAAACAAAGCUUCAAUAUAAAUUCAGAUUAUGGUGGUUGGUUGAUAGAUAAUGAUAAACUUAGAUCUGCAAGUCGGCACAACAUCCUUUCACGAAAGAAGAAAUUGAAGAAAGGUCAACAGAUAGGAAUAUUCUUUUGCUAGAAAGGAUCCAUGCAUAAUUACUUGUUAACAAGUUCACAUCCCAAAGCAAUGUCACAUAGGUAGGCUUUCUUAUUUUCAUUGAGGAAGUGGUGACCAUGGUCAAAAACAACACAAAAGUGAACAAAGAAUUUAAAGUUUAAUUAUAGCCCAGUCCUAGAGUUUAUCUUGGUCACAUUUUGCAUGAACUUUGAAAGUGAAGAAAAGUUAGCAAGCCCAAAUCAUUUGUAUUUAGCAAAUUUGAGGCAUGGAGUGGCACCUGAAGAAGUGGUAAGACAUGCACCUAGUUCAAUAUCUUUGAAGCUGUAAUACAUGCUUCAGCCUUACUAAACGAUGCUAGCUUCGCCAAUUAAUCAAACAAAAAUGAGGAAACAUGGUGAGUUUAACAUAUAACAGUUAAUUGCUACCACUGGAGGUCUGGAUUCACAUAUACUGAUCUUCAAGCUAAUCCAUCACUGAUUUUUAUAACGAUCUUAAAAAUUCUAGUACAAAAUCAUAUGGGUUAUUUUGAGUAAAUUGGGCGCUUCACUAUUAGUUGCAUGACAGUCUAUAACAUUCUGAGGCAUAAGUAACUAUCAUCUAAGGUAUAUUUGGAAAUAUCACUGCAAAAAUCCUCUUUUUUUCAAUUGGAAAGCCGAGUGAAUAAAUUAUAGUGAAAAGUAAGAUACAUGAAUUGCGAACUUAUUUAUGCUCUAAAUAUUCCUGUUGUGAGCACAUAUACGGAAAUGCCUCCUAACACAUGAAUCACAAGCUGGUCAAUGAUAUUUGGAGUUUCUAUCGUUAGCUUGGUACUUCAUAUUGUUAACUCCAUGGUUCAAGUCAGCCUUUAGAAAGAGUAUUUAGUAGUUGUCUGUUAGAACUAAAUUCCAGUGUGUUUAAAAUUAGCUUUGGAGAUUAUGCCUCUAGAUAAGUUGAUCAGAAAUAAAUCUACAAAGUUGUGGAUGAAAAGAGUGGGAAGCACAAAACUAGGAGAUGGCUGAAAGACGAUAUUAAUAGCAUGUAAUUUCCAAGGAAGACAAUGUUGAGAAAUACAAAUGUCUUUAAAAUGUUAUGAGAAUUGUAUAUUACAAAGUUAUAAAAUAAUUCACUAAACAACAACUCAAAUCAUCAAACUAGACUAUGCGAAAUCAAUGUGGUUGAUCGAAAUCCUGCUGACGAUGACUGAUGAUGAUGAUGGAGCUUUGGAGCUCUCAUAUAAAUUAAUAGCUCAGUAGUUCUAACCAAACACUCCAAAUUUUGGGUUUUUGACAUGUCGGACACUUAGAUAUUUGGGACACUUUACAUGACCCUCCUUGACUCUUUCUAUCAUCAAGUCAUAAUAUCACCACCAUUACAUACCUACUUUUGGCAAUUCUACAUGAAAGUUAUUAAAUCUAACAUAUUAAUUAGCAAACCUUUUAUCAAAUUUGUGAACUAAAAGAGCAAAAGGUCCAACUAGUAAUGUAGACAUGGGCAUAAUACAUAAGCACAAACAUAUGCAAUAAAUAGAAGAAUCGCCAUGUUUGAUUCUUAAAAAGGUUCACAUGUUGGAAACUUCUGGACACUUGACCUCCAAAUCUGUGUCCAACUAACAUUGCAUCUCAUUGAUUUCUACAAUGCAAAUUUUAGGGCAAUUGACCUCAAUGUUCAUGUUAGCGGGUCCAAAAAUUAUGAUCAAUGUCUAUUGCAACCAAGGUUCACCGUCUCAGUGCUAAACCCCGUACCAGCAAGGAUUCACAAGUCCUGGCAGAAUGUCCGGUGGGACACCGGGAUGGGGUACCAUCAAGGUCCGCCAUACCGGUACCGGUCGGCGUACCGGUGGCGGCCCGGACCGGUACGAAACUGGUGGCGUACCGGUCCGUACCGGUGGCGUACCGGUCCGAACCGGUGGCGUACCGGUCCGAACCGGUCCCGUACCGGUUUUUCAACAGUAAACUACCGGUACCGGAUUGCACGCUGAUCUGGUACCGGUCCCAGGCCGGACCGGUACGUACCGGCCCGUACCGGCCGGUACGUACCGGACCAUGGGUACCAUCCUAUAUGUCAAGACCGGAUUAGCACGUCUUGGACAUCAACUGUCCCAAGUAUCGAGAUGGGGCGAAACAAUAGCAUGUCCUGUUCUAUGGAAAUAAAACCGAGACCUCGUCCCACGAGAUUUAAAACCUUAUUGGCAUCAUUUUAUUACAGUGUUGUUACAUGGUCUGGUACGAAACGGCGAGGCACACCAAGUGUCGAUAAGGUACAAAAUUGAAUGCCAGUUCGGUACAAUAUAGUAUGCCUGGUACGGUAUAGUACCAACCAGUAUAGUGAGCCUUGGUUGCAACCUCAGUUUUCAAAUUUUAUACCUUCCACUUGAAACACUCCUAUUUUAGAAUCUCUAUCAUAACUCAAGCACACAAUCAAGUCUGCACUAGAAUAGGCCAUAACUUAUUAUUUUUCGCUCUUCAAUACAGACAAGGAAUUUGUUAAGAUGGAUAUUCAAUUAGUAUAAAUCAAUGUCCCAACAACAAAUUGUUAAUAGGUUUAAAACUAGCCACCCAGCUAAAACUUGAGGCUCAUGUAAGUAUCUUCCAUACUUUCAGUUUGAGUCCCCACUUUCCUAUGUCACUAGGUAUCGAGUACUUAAGAAAUAAAUAUGAGAUUUUUAGAUCAAGCGACUCAAAUCCUUGCAACAAAUUUAAAAGAGACUAAAUCCUUGACUUUCAUUUGAGUUGCUAAGUUUACAAAGAUUGUUGCCAGUUAUAAUAAUUGCUGACUCUGAUGGGCCUUUGCAUAUUUCCAAGCUAUAUUAAAGUCGUACACAAUAUGCAUGAAGUCCUAAAAUAUAGCUCAUCAACCAGAGGUGUAGGAUAGCUACCUACCGUAAAGCCCUUUUGAUUUUCACAUUACUUUGCAACAAGGUUCGCCGUCUUAAUACUGAACCCCGUACCAGUGCCACACUAGCACAAUGUCGGUACGGUGUGGUAUGAAAUUUUUUUGAAGUACUGAGUGUCCGUACGCCACCCGUACCGGAUACCAAUACCGAACCGGUACGGUACGAUAAGCCCUAUAUUGAGUAGUUUGGGCCGGUACGGCAUACCUUGCUUUGCAAAAUCAUGAUAGAAUGCUGCUUGGUUGGAAGAUAAACAUCUUAACAUAUUUUAACAUGCUUUAGAAAUCAAUGAGCUACCAUCUCAUGGUAACCUUACAAAGCUAAGAAGUAAGAACUUUAUUUUUUUUAUGUGAAAGAUGUUAAAAGAACCUUAUUAACUAUAAGAAGAAAAAAGGCACUACAUUUUAAUAUCUACAAAGUUCACAUUGUUAUUAGAAACAAAGGAAACAACUAAGGAAAUAAGAGUGUCCGUUACACAAAUGACAUGGUCUAAGCUGAUAUUUUAGUAAGUUGAAAUAAUAAAACAUUUUAAAGUGAUGCUUGGUUUCACCCCAAUAGUACGACAUUCCAAAAAAAUUGUAUAUUUCAGAUCACUAGUCUCAAGAACGCAGCAUAUACCUUGUACAAAAUAUAAAAUGAAAACCAAAGCAUAGCAUGAAAUUUCUAUAUAACGUGGUAAACAGUUCUUAAUAAUCAAAAAGACAUACCACUAUGGUUGGUGCCCAAAGAAUCCAAAAAACUGACAUGGAAAAAUGGAUGCUUGAUUGAGCCCAUGAUAGCAUCCAAAUCCUUUUGUCUGGGAAGCCAAAAAAAAGCAACCAGCAGCUUAUAAUAGAGAACAAAAGGAGAUGUGAAAAGUCUUGCAAUGCUUUAAAGUUUCAAGAUACAGCAUUUGAUUGAACUUGUUGAAUAUUUAAUCAAUAGGUCAGGAUAUAUUCUAAAAGCAUGUGCAUCUAUUUUGGCUUACAUAACCAAAACUAGGAAAAUACAACCGAUUAAACUUAAAAAGGUAGUAGCCCCUGGCCAAGAAAGGAUGAGAGCGAGCAAGCAAUGAUAUUCCAAGUUGCACAAAAAUAUAAUUUUAUAGCCUCAGCCAGCCACCUUUUCUUAUAUCACUGGGACUCCUAAACUAGAAAUAUUAAAAAAGAAAAAGGAAAUAGUGAUGAAGCCCACCCAACAAAUUCUAGUUGGAUCCCUCAUGUUGAACUCUUUUAGGACUCCUAAAUCAGAACGAAAUAGACCAAAUACUUUUAAUUUUAAGAGCUCUUCUUGGCAAUUAAAGUUUCCCAAUGUUUGAAUGCUAAAUUGACACCAAUUGGCCAGCUAAUUGCAGCCCAAAUUGAUGCUAGAAAACUUCCAAAAACCUAUGACUAUAUGAAAAUCCUAUAGCUAAAGAAAACAAAAAUUGACUAACUAAUGGUCUGAAAAAGGAAGAACAAAACUGUUUAUAUUGCUGAUAUUUUUUAACCAGCAAGGAUCCAACAAGGAGAUUGCAUGGCUGCUCCUUGCAGUCCUUCAACCGUACCAUCUUGCCUUGACAACAAUGGUGGUGAAUGGUGACAACUUUGUCAUAUGGAAGCCCACGGAGGGACCAAAAGUGGGUGCCAUUCUUACAGUCCCUCUACUAAGUAGUAGGGUUACCACACAAACCUUGACUCUAUGCCACUGAACUGAGGCAGAGGUUGGAUUUGUUAAACAAGAGUUGGUGAGAAAAUAUUGUGCCCAAUGCGGAGAACAAGUACUUUUAGGGAAAAAAACUUUACCAUAGUCGUUUAGGUCAUUCUCUAUGACAGAUCUCCCUGCCCUGUUCUAGCAAGCAUAUGCCAUGUUGCUCUAAUAGUUUAUUUGUCGCCAACCAGUAUUAAUUUGGUGUGGCAUUGCAAAGACCCUUUUGCCUGUCAAGGGUCUUGAUGGCCUAAGCUAUUGCAAAAAGUUGUUGGAAAAAGUGUAUCUGUGUGUGUGUGUGUGUGUGUGUGAUCAAAGGUAACAUGAUGCUUAAUGCUUAUACCGCUUAUCUUUCCACACACACACACAACAAAAAAAUGAAAAAAAGAAAACCUAAUGCCCAAGGUAGAGAGGAACCGAACAUGUCAUCCUCAAUGGGGUAUAUGGUUAUUGGUUUAAGAUUUCAUUCAAGGUGGUUGCAGUCAACCCCAAUUUCAGGAAGCUCAAUGUGAAAAUCUUUGUUCCAGGUUUCAACAUAUAACAAGCAUGAGAGUAGGCUACACUGUUUGGAUGCAAUAGCAGUGGCAAACUAGAGAUUCAUUAACAAUACUGUUAAUGCUGAAGUUAUAAGAUCAUCAAUACCAUUUGCUCAGACAUGGAUAAUAUAGUUUUCACUGCCAAUGGCAAGGGGAUGGAUAGACUGGAAAAAUGAUUUUCUCCAUGCAAGAAACCUGAGAUUGCACAAGGUCAUGGCUACCUCAUGAGGCAUGUUGCUUCUUUCCUUUUGAAAUCUUAUUCCUCUUUCUAUAUGGAAAUGCCCUUAGAGUUGUAUUAUUAGUUGAGUGGGUCUGGAAAUUCUGUUACAUCUGGGUUGUUGUUAGGGUCGACAGAAUGGAAACAUCGAGCAUUAGCAUGACCAACUGUUCUAAUAGUUGCAGGCACUUGCAUCGUAUUGUAUUAUACAUUUUCACCUUGCAUCAGAAGUUAAAAGAAAAAAUUAAUGAGUUAAGAUCUCAUUUUUCAAUAAAAUAAAACCAAUAAGAAAGAAUAGAACCUAUUGAAAAGGUCAUCCUUCAAAGCAUGAUUAAGAGUAUGGAUCCUUUUAUAUGGAGCAUUUGUUUGGGUGUUUACUAGCCAAAAAUUCCAUGUGCGGUGGUGCCAACUUCAGAAGCUCAUACCCUACUUCAAUUAUAUCCAUAUAUACAAAUCUGAAAUUUUAAUUUUGGAUUUAGAGUUUGAAUAGGAAAACAAAAUGCAUAACUUUUCAAUUGAUUGGUAUUUAAGCACCCAAGAUCUUAAAUCAAUAUUUUAUAUCUGCAACACUUGGAUGAUAGCCAAAGCCAAGUCUGAUGAUUGACUUCAAACAUUAUGAAGAGAACCUUGAGCACAAUGAUCAAUUGUUGGUGGCAUGCAAUAACAGUUGGAGGCAAAAACGAGGCAUGUGGAUAAAAUGCAGUACCUUUGGAAAAGUCUGAUUUAAAUCUUGAAUUUGCGAAGAAUUUUUAGGGAGAUAAAAGAUGUCUUCUUUUUUCCAAAUAAAGACAACAACAGCCCUUAUAUAUGUGAUGCCCAAGAGGAAUAGUCAAAAAUAUGUCAGAAAAACAAAUGCUGAUUUCAGGAUCCAAUUCAAUGAUAUGUUGAUUCCUCUUUUCAAAAUGAACCGUAUGCUGAUUACAACAUCCAAGGAUGGCAAAAUGAAGCAUGAGGUACCAGAGAAUAACCUUUGUCCAUUUCUAGAGUCCUAGGGCAGAAACCAAGAAUCUUGCAACCCAUGGAUAGCAAAUAGCACCUAUGAAAGGAGAAGGUAGCAAACAAUAAUUUAUUGAAGUAUGAGAUUGGGACAGCAAGCUGUAAACUCAAGAGUUCCUCUUACAAUGCUAACAUACUGGAAAGUUAGUCACCAGGUUUCCCUAGUUGCCCAGCACAUUUGAGGCAUACUAGCAGCACAAAAGAGAAAAAAUUGGAGACGAGGUGAACUAGGAAGUUCCUUGAUUGGAUUUAGUUGAUGUGGAAGUGCAACAGGUUCAUUUCGGUGAUGUGCGAUCUCAAUCACUCCAUUAGCAAAAGCUGUGCAUAGCAUAAGAUGCAAACUAAGGCUGUGGAAUACGCUAGGAGACUAGUGGACGGUCAGACUGUCACCAAGUUCAAGCUCCAGCAUAAUGGAUGAAGCCUCAGCACCAUAGGAUGCCUAAGCCCAUCUGACACCAAAAUAGAAAUCAUCACAUGUUAAACACCUCAAUAGUGCACAUGUAAUUAUGUUUCAUAGUUAUAGUAGAAGAAUGUAUCAUAAGGCCCCAUUUGGCAAGAGUUGUUGGCAGGAGAGCUUUUUGAAGUAGAGCUUUUAUAAAAAGCUAUUUGUUGUUUGUUGUUUGGUAAUUACAUUUCUAAAGUGUUGUGAAACUUUAAUAUGUGUUUGAUAAACAAACUAAGAAAGUACUUUUGGUAUGACAAAAUGACCAUAAAGGAUAUUGUAUAGUAUUAUACAACAAAGCCUAAUAAAAUAUAAUAUGUAUUAAUAUAUAAAUAUAUAAUAUAGUAUAAUAUUGCUGUAAUAUAAUAUAAUAUUAUUAUAAUAUAGUAAUAUAAUAUUGUAUACUAUAGCAUAAUAAUAUAACAUAAUUUGAUAUUAUAUAAUAUAAUAUAUCAAUGUAUUAUGAUAUAAUGUAAUAUAAUAUUAUAUUUAUAAUAUAAUACAAUAAUAAAAGUAUAAAAUAUUACAAUUAUUAUCAUUAUAUAUUAAUAUUAUUAUUUUCUGUAAUUAUUAUAUUUUAUCAUGGGUAUUUUGGUUUAAAAAGAAAAAAUUUUAUAACUCAAAACAGCAUUUCAACGAGGCCUAAAAGUGCUUUUCCGAGCUUCUCCCAAAAAGCUGUUUUAGCUUUCCAGUAAAACUAAAACAACUUUCCGACUUUUUUACCAAACAUCCCUUUUCUAUCUAAAAGUGCUUUUGAGGGGCUAGAAAGUGCUUUCUGGCCCUACACUUUUUGGCCCUCCAAAAGCUCUACCAAACAUGGCUUAAGUCACCUUCCAAAGUCCACUCACCUAACAAGAAUAGCUUCAGGCUAAAACCUAAUACAACUUUCCGACUUUUUUACUAAACAUCCCUUUCCAUCUAAAAGUGCUUUUGAGGGGCCAGAAAGUGCNNNNNNNNNNNNNNNNNNNNAUGACAUCAGAAAGAAUGCCUGAGAAGGAGCCAAGAAGAGAGCAGCAGAAACCUAAUACAACUUUCCGACUUUUUUACUAAACAUCCCUUUUCCAUCUAAAAGUGCUUUUGAGGGGCCAGAAAGUGCUUUCUGGCCCUGCACUUUUUGGCCCUCCAAAAGCUCUACCAAACGGGGCUUAAGUCACCUUCCAAAGUCCACUCACCUAACAAGAAUAGCUUCAGGCUAAAACCUAAUACAACUUUCCGACUUUUUUACCAAACAUCCCUUUUCCAUCUAAAAGUGCUUUUAAGGGGCUAGAAAGUGCUUCCUGGCCAUGCACUUUUUGGCCCUCCAAAAACUCUAAUAGCACCUCCAUUUGAGAGCAAUAAUAAUUCAUAAACCAACUCAGCACUCUUCCACAACUUGUGCUUAAGGCAUGAAACAUAAAAUUGGAUGGAUUUGUGAUGAUGCUAGUAGAGCUAAAAAGUACGCUCCAGGCCAUUUUUUCCAUUGAUGAAAAGGUCCAUAAAACUAAGAGAACAGCUUAAGAGAUUCAUGAACUGCUAUAGAAGACUGUCUAUAAGGCUUCAGAUGAAGGAAAACUUCAUCAUCAAUGUUAAAACUUCUACCUGGACAUCCUUUAUCACCAUAGAAAUUCAUUCAAGCCUGAUCAACGAAUAUUAAAAAAAAGGUUUUCUUUAAGUAAAUGUUGAAUAUGAUCCCUAUCUUUCAAGGUAUUACUAGUUCUUUGUAUAUAACUCAUGGUUGGUGGUGGCUUCUUAUAAACUACCUCAUAGAGAAUCAUUUUAAUUGACUCAUGGUAGGAAGUAUUAUACCUCCAUUCAACCGGUGGAAUCCAUGUAGCCUAUUUUGUUGUUUGAUGUUUGUGAAACAAUGAAGAUGUCUCCAAGCAAUGAUUAACAUGCUCCAACAUUCUAAUUAAGGGUGACACAAUCUUAGCUAGAAAAAUUAAGAAUCAUAAGAGCUACUCAUGUAAUUGAGUUCCUUGCAGCCAACAGAAUUCCUUCGAGAAUGUAUUUAUGAAGACAGGGUCGAUCACUAACUAUAGAAGAUGGCAUUCCAUGGAGAUUGAAUACGCUAUCAAUGAAAAGCUUGGCAGCAAGGUUCACUAUACUGCCCCAAAACGCUCAGCUCAGUUCACUCUAUCGGUUGGGAACAAGAGUCAAACUGCUCAAGACCGAGCGGCUCGAAGUGAUACUAGGACGAACUGCACGAUUCACACCGGUUCGGUCUCAGUUUGCCCAUCACCUCCCCUGCUUCAACAAUAAAGGAUGAAGGUUGAGAAGGCAUAGGAGGCCUUCUAAGCCCCUAUAAAACCCAGCCCAAUCAGUGGACCGGUUGGCCUAGCUAUGGCCUAGUGAUUGAGCAUGGCCCAAAGGUUUGGUCCCAAAGUAAUUGGAGCUCCACCCCUGUUUGAAGCAAAGUCAAAGAAGGAGGCGGACUCUACCUCCUCAAACUCUGAUAGGGCGUGGAGCAUUGGCUAUAAAGAUCCCACUCAAAGUUCACUAUCUCGGUACCAAACCCCAUAAUGGUACCAUCCUAUUACUAUGUCGAUAUGCCCCAUAUAGGGGCCAAUUUGGUAUAUCGACACUCAAUACGCAUUCUAUAUCGCGUACCGGUUUGGUACUGAUAUAGUAUGAUAUGGUCAGCACACACCGAUAUCGAUCGAUACAGCAAAUCUUGCUCCCGUCCAUCCUUCCCACAAAGCCGCAAAGCCAACCCCUCCCUUUCUCUUUCCCAUGAUUUUGCUACCAUUCGCCGCCACUAUGGCUGCAACUCAAACUACAUCGGAAACGAGGCAUCAUCGCAUGCCACCUCUCCAACAUCGUUCCCUCCCACCUCACCGGCAUCAUCUCUCCUUCCGUCCCUACCUCGUACAACUACCGCUGGUCGAGAUAUUGCCAUGAAUCGUUGAUUAUCCCAUGAUUUAGACUCCCCGAUUCUACCAACCCAAUCUUUCCUAUUCAAUUCCAAACAACAUGGCCGCUGAAAUUGUUGCCACUACCCUUCGACUUUCCAGCCAUGAAAGGCUGCUUGCAUCACCAUCUUCUCCGGUCUCCCAUCUCUUCCUCUAGUUUGCAUUAAAAAAAGAAGGAAAGAAGAGGAAGACCCAUUCCUUCUCUUUCUCUCUCUUCUUCUCUCUUGCGCUCUCUCUCUCAUCUCUCUGAUGUAGGGUGAACCCCUAGGGGGUCUUGAUCAACCUUGAUAAAGAUGUUCUGUAAUACCUCAGUAGCCAUGCAACAUGUUGACCCCCAUCCCUUGUGGCACAUUGCUGGACACUAUCACCAUUGAUCCCCAUAGUACUAUUGUACUUUGUCCGAUUUUUGUUCUAUAAUUUGGCCGGUUGGAUUGCCAAAUUAGACUCGGGUCAUUAGAUGCUACUGCCUCGCCAACCCUAAUACUCCACCUUUUUCUUACACUUUUCUAUCAUUGUCCUAAUUUUUUGUCGACAUCUUCUAAUUGUUGGAGUUGAAUUAGUGAGAUAAACUAGUCUAGAUAAAAAGAUGUGGAUAUUAUGAUAUGGUCUACAAAUUAUUUUGAGAAGAAAUUUUUGGAAUUAUCUAAAUUUCCCAGUGUACAUGUGAGGUAAGUAAUACAACUAUUUUUCGAGACUUAUCAGCAAAUUAUAAAAUAUUUUAUGAAUCAAAUUAUUUAUGAUUUAUGAACUUGAUGCAUAGUAUUUUAUUAUUGAAUAUGUUUUUUAAGAAUAUUAUAUGAUUCAUGAUCGAACGUAUUGAUUUCAACAUGGAUCAUGCUCGUCUGAUUUCGAUGUCGCGUGAUUUUAUGUAUCCUUCGAUUUAGAAUAUGAAAUUGCGCGUUGUGUUAAGGCGACCGAUUCAGUACAAGUCUGAAUCAGUCUGAACUGGUAACGAACAGGUCUGAUAGUCGAUCGGUACGUCUACCGAAACUGAUUCGGCGAUCCUUGGGUAUAACUAUGGUCAUAGGUCUUGACUGACGAGAUGAAUUCGAUGUUUUGAAAGAAAUUUAAUUUAUGAACAAAAUUUGAAUUUUAAGAAUAAUUGAAUUCGCAAACAUAAUAUUUUGAUAAUGCUACAUGUUUAAAUUUGAUUUUGAAUUGAUAUACUUCAUAUGCUUAUUUUCAGUAUAUUAUUAUUUAUUUUAAUGCCUAAUUUAUCUAGUUAAGUGUUUCAUUGCUUACUAGGUUAUCUAGCUCAUUAUUCAAUAUCUUACUAUUUUUACAAAUCCUAAGAACUAAUAUGGCAAGAGGAUAUGCUUUGGAAGAGAGUGAUUAGAAGCAGAGUAUAGGUUUCAUUAUUUUAGAUUGAAAAUUUAUUAAAGAUUGAUGUAAUACUAUUGGUUGGAAUCAACGUUCGCCGUACCAGUACCGGACCCCGUACCGGUGCCAUACAGCAUAAUAUCGGUACGGUAUGGUAUGAAAUUUUUUGGACGUACCGAGGGUCAGUAUGCCACCCGUACCGAUACCAAACCAGUAUGGUACAGUACACCCGGCACCGUCCGGUUCGGUACAAUACGGCAUACCAUGAUUAAAAUUUUGUGAUACACUAAGUUUGGAUUUUAAUUAUUUAAAUUUGGACUUAUUUAAUUGGCUAUUUAUUCUACUACUUGCUUUAUGAUAUCAUGAUGAGAUUGCUUACAUGCUUGCAGGGAGAGUUUCUUAUGAGUAUGCAGUGGUUGUCACAACCUCGGCUCGCAAUUUUGGGUCGGCGGCAUGACAAUUAUAAUAGUAUCAGAGGAUAAGUGGAUAAAUCAUAAGACAUAGAAUCAGACAUAGGAUGAGUGUAGGUAGGUAGACACUAGAGACAUUAGCAUGUAAAUUUAUAUUGAUUACAAAAUAAGUUAUUUGAAAAACUAAGAUUCGAAGAUUUCUAAAUAAAGAAAAACACUAUAUAUUCUCUACUUGAUAUUUUUGGUUCUUUUCAUUGGAAAUCAUUUAGUGAAUCUAGAGAAUUUUAGCAGUUUAAUCAAAGUGCGCAACGGAAGUGUAGUGGUGUGAAUUAUUUUGCAGCUGAUUAGACAAGAAUAACUUUAAUUUGAAAGGUGUUAAGAUGAAAGACUAGACUAGGAUCCUCUUUUUUCUUCUUCCCACAUGGAUGAGUUUCGGACUCCGAAACCC